This 304-nucleotide ribosomal RNA is filed under the name Minervarya mudduraja. Its description in RNAcentral is "partial 12S ribosomal RNA". It matches the Rfam family "Bacterial small subunit ribosomal RNA", at positions 779 to 1248 of the family's 1533-position model. Lineage: Eukaryota; Metazoa; Chordata; Amphibia; Anura; Dicroglossidae. The record is from RNAcentral.
UAGAUACCCCACUAUGCCUACCGUAAAAUAUUGACUCACAAAUACCAGCGCCCGGGAAUUACGAGCUCAGCUUAAAACCCAAAGGACUUGACGGUGUCCCACCCAACUAGAGGAGCCUGUUCUAUAAUCGAUAAUCCCCGCUUCACCUGACCUUUUUUUGCUCUUCAGCCUGUAUACCUCCGUCGUAAACUUACCAUAUGAAUGUCUUAUAGUGUUGUUCAAUGUUUUACCUAUCAGAACGUCAGGUCAAGGUGCAGCCUAUAAAAAGGCAAGCAAUGGGCUACAAUCUUCAACUUAAAACAAA